UACGGGGGGGGCAAGCGUUGUUCGGAAUUACUGGGCGUAAAGGGCUCGUAGGCGGCCAACUAAGUCAGACGUGAAAUCCCUCGGCUUAACCGGGGAACUGCGUCUGAUACUGGAUGGCUUGAAUCCGGGAGAGGGAUGCGGAAUUCCAGGUGUAGCGGUGAAAUGCGUAGAUAUCAGGAGGAACACCGAUGGCGAAGGCAGGUCUCUGGGCUGACACUGACGCUCAUGCACGAAAGCGUGGGGAGCAAACAGG
RNAcentral lists this ribosomal RNA (253 nucleotides) under uncultured bacterium. RNAcentral's name for it is "partial 16S ribosomal RNA". It matches the Rfam family "Bacterial small subunit ribosomal RNA", at positions 524 to 776 of the family's 1533-position model. The record is from RNAcentral.